Long non-coding RNA from Rosa rugosa (rugosa rose), 1531 nucleotides. RefSeq lists it as uncharacterized. NCBI's taxonomy places the organism in Eukaryota, Viridiplantae, Streptophyta, Magnoliopsida, Rosales, Rosaceae. The transcript has 3 exons. The record is from RefSeq and is a predicted model, not a curated record.
UUCUCUUGGUUCGAAUAAUGAAUGUACGAGUUUUACUAUGAUCAAAUUGUAUUAUUGAGCUGUUGACAGGUUGGAUAGUUGGCUGUUUGAAUGUUUUCCAGUUUUGGAAUUUGAAGUUAGCUUACUGCCUUGCUCUGUAUCUGACUUAUCUGUUUGAACUUUUGAUGAUUUUGCAUCUGUUUUGGAUGGGAAUUGAAUAUUUGUUUGCAUAUUGGAUGCUAAAUCUGUGUUUAGUAGUAAGUAGGAGAAAAAUAGGGAUGACCCAGUUUCGUAGUUCUGGCAAUUUAGCAUCAAAGAUUGUAAAGAUUCCUUUUUGGUCAACUAGGGGUCUUAUGUUGUCGACUAGUUUAGAGGAUGUGUAUGGUGGUGAUUGUGUUCUGGACUUGUUUGUUGAUUGGACUUUGCUUACUGCCUUGCUAUAAGCCUAUAAUGCUAUGUUUCUGAUUGUCAGUCUCUGUGUUUACAUUGUGGGAGCUUAUAUACGUACUUGGUUCAUUUGAUAGGCCAAGCUGUGGUGUGACUGUCCCUUCUGGACUGAAGAUGGUAUGUGCCUCCUGCGUGACUGUAGCGUCUACGAAUGCCCGGAAAAUGAAUUUUCCAAACCUUUCAAGAGGCCCUUUCACCGUGGCCUUCCAUCCGACAGUUUGGUUUGUCAAGAUGACAAGCUGCAGGGUUGUGUUGACCGCACUCUAGACAGUAGGGCUUUCAGAGGCUGGAUUGAGACAGAUAACCCUUGGACAAAUGAUGACGAGACUAAUAAUGGUAAUUGUCAUUAUUACCACAACCCUCUAUUAUCUUCUACCUUCUGUGCAGGAAGAGAUUUUUGGUCCAGUUCUUCUUUGCUUGGAGGCUGACAGUCUAGAAGAGGCAAUAAGCAUUGUUAACAGAAAUAGAUAUGGCAACAGCGCUUCUAUAUUUACUACAUCAGGGUAGCUGCACGGAAAUUUCAGACAAGAAUAAUAAUUGGACUAAUAAAAAGUUCAAACAAGAACCUAUAUCACAAAUUUUUCUUGGCUCUGCUGGGCAGUGUUUACAGUUUCCCUUCUAGCUAUAUUACUGAUGAAUUGUGAUGGUCAACUUAAUAAGAACAACCUGGCAAAAAAAGUUAAAUACAUUUUAUAUCAAUUUGUAAUUAAUUUUGAGUAUGAAACAGGUUGGUAUCAACGUUCCUAUUCCAGCAAUAAGGCAUCUUUUGCAGGGGAUUUGAACUUCUAUGGUAUUACCCAUCUUUUACUAGUUACUUGACUUUAUUUCAAUAUCAAUUUGCCUGAACUUUCAUAUCAGUAAGUGUAGUCCCAAGUCUCAUGCUCAUCCUCCCUCUCUUCACUUGAUUUAUGUUUCUCUAUCUGAAAACUUUUCACUUAUCUAUGUAGAUAGAAAACGGACACAUAUCUUGAGGAAGAUGGAGGAAGAUCCCUGCAAAGCUUUUCUUGAAGUAGAGUAAGAAAAGUACCUUGUAUUAUCUUGUAAACUCUUGUAUAAGAGCUUCAUUUCUUUUGUAACAUUCAUGAGAAAAAUCAAAAUGUAACAU